This 75-nucleotide transfer RNA is filed under the name Aquisphaera giovannonii. Its description in RNAcentral is "tRNA-Met". It matches the Rfam family "tRNA". From Rfam's summary of the family: Transfer RNA (tRNA) molecules are approximately 80 nucleotides in length. The record is from RNAcentral. Lineage: Bacteria; Pseudomonadati; Planctomycetota; Planctomycetia; Isosphaerales; Isosphaeraceae.
AGCGGGAUGGAGCAGCAGCAGCUCGCUUGGCUCAUAACCAAGAGGCCGUCGGUGCAAGUCCGGCUCCCGCUACCA